AGAUUUAUCGCUAAAGGAUUGGUCUAUGUCCUAUCAGCUUGUUGGUGAGGUAAAGGCUCACCAAGGCGAUGACGGGUAUCCGGCCUGAGAGGGUGAACGGACACACUGGAACUGAGACACGGUCCAGACUCCUACGGGAGGCAGCAGUAGGGAAUAUUGCUCAAU
Molecule: ribosomal RNA, 165 nt
Filed under: uncultured Helicobacter sp.
Lineage: Bacteria; Pseudomonadati; Campylobacterota; Epsilonproteobacteria; Campylobacterales; Helicobacteraceae
Description: partial 16S ribosomal RNA
Rfam family: Bacterial small subunit ribosomal RNA
Source: RNAcentral